RNAcentral lists this ribosomal RNA (253 nucleotides) under uncultured bacterium. Its description in RNAcentral is "partial 16S ribosomal RNA". It matches the Rfam family "Bacterial small subunit ribosomal RNA", at positions 524 to 776 of the family's 1533-position model. The record is from RNAcentral.
UACGUAGGGUGCGAGCGUUAAUCGGAAUUACUGGGCGUAAAGCGUGCGCAGGCGGUUUUGUAAGUCAGAUGUGAAAUCCCCGGGCUCAACCUGGGAACUGCGUUUGAAACUACAAGACUAGAGUGUAGCAGAGGGGGGUGGAAUUCCACGUGUAGCAGUGAAAUGCGUAGAGAUGUGGAGGAACACCGAUGGCGAAGGCAGCCCCCUGGGUUAACACUGACGCUCAGGCACGAAAGCAUGGGGAGCAAACAGG